GCCGAGAUGGUGGAAUUGGUAGACACAAGGGACUUAAAAUCCCUCGGUUCUUUAGAACUGUGAGAGUUCAAGUCUCUCUCUCGGCA
Molecule: transfer RNA, 86 nt
Filed under: Gammaproteobacteria bacterium
Lineage: Bacteria; Pseudomonadati; Pseudomonadota; Gammaproteobacteria
Description: tRNA-Leu
Rfam family: tRNA
About the family: Transfer RNA (tRNA) molecules are approximately 80 nucleotides in length.
Source: RNAcentral